AUGGGAGAUACCAGUAGGGAUUCCGGUAUUGAGAAAUUGUGUGAAAGUAUGCAGCGUAUGAUUUCACAGCUGAUGGAGCAGGCACAAACAAAGACAAGCAGAACUUCUGAAAUUUUGAAGACCAUGGAACCCAAUCCUGUCAGGUUAACUGGUCCAGGUGAUUUUUUUAGCUGGUCUCGGAACGCCACAUUGAUUCUGGAGUCACAUGGACUUCAGAAAUUUUUGAAGGACGAUGAAAAAAAACCAACGGAUGUCACACAAGAGCAAUGGGAUCAGAAUCAAAAGCGAGUUAUGGUAUGGCUGUUGGGGUCGAUGGAGAAUACUGUUAGGGAACAAGUUGAAGGGUUUCAGUCUGCAGCUGAGGUGUGGACAAGCAUUGAGAAACAGUUCUCAGGAAAAUCGAACAAGAUGCAAGUUAGUAGGAUUUUCCAUGAAUUGAGGCAGAUCAAGCAAGAGCAGAAGACAAUGACUGAAUUUGCGGGAGAAAUCAAGAAACUCUAUAGAGACCUGGAGUAUUUUAGACCAUUUAAGACAUGA
RNAcentral lists this ribosomal RNA (537 nucleotides) under Triticum aestivum (bread wheat). Its description in RNAcentral is "partial small subunit ribosomal RNA". The record is from RNAcentral. Lineage: Eukaryota; Viridiplantae; Streptophyta; Magnoliopsida; Poales; Poaceae.